Molecule: ribosomal RNA, 659 nt
Filed under: uncultured fungus
Lineage: Eukaryota; Fungi
Description: eukaryotic LSU rRNA
Rfam family: 5.8S ribosomal RNA (bases 135-288)
Source: RNAcentral
UCCGUAGGUGAACCUGCGGAAGGAUCAUUAAUAAAUGCUUCAUUGCAUCCACCUUUUGUGCACUGUAAAUAUUUCACUUGAAUUUUGUCUGACUAAUCUUUGUUCUGAAAGGAACAUAAAUUAUAAUCUAAUACAACUUUUAACAAUGGAUCUCUUGGCUCUCGCAUCGAUGAAGAACGCAGCGAAAUGCGAUAAGUAAUGUGAAUUGCAGAAUUCAGUGAAUCAUCGAAUCUUUGAACGCAUAUUGCGCUCUUUGGUAUUCCAGAGAGCAUGCCUGUUUGAGUAUUGGUACUAUGGGUGAACUUCCUUUGAAUUUUCAAAGUAAAAUCAUUUAAAACCCUAUUGAGACAUCUUGGCAAUCUUUUUUCAAGUGUCUUAAAAUUCAAUUGAAUUUUCCAUGUUCCAGUGGAAGAUGACUAGUUUAUGGAGUAAUAUGGUAAGGGUUGCCCCUGACCUGAAAAAGUGCUGUCAAAGGCUCUUUUUCUUACUUUUCUUCUAGUUGUCUUCAGCUGGAACAUGAUCUUUGAAUGCCCUUGAAGAAGACAUUCAAAAUUUUUAAUCUCAAUCUCAAAUCAGGUAGGAUUACCCGCUGAACUUAAGGCAUAUCAAUAAGGCGGGAGGGGAAGGUCGGACUGGCCAAGGGCACACAGGGGGGGAUA